AAAUUCCGUAAGUACCUUACCGUUUUCUAACAUGUUGGACACCAGAUGGCAUGACACGUCAUUUAAAAUGAUACCACAUAAUCUUAUUAAAUAGACACAUCAAUUAAAUAAAAAAAAUAUUAAUACAAUUAAAAAAGCUAGCAAAUGAAAAGAAUAAUAUUAUUGAUACAACUAAUUUAAAUUUAUUUAAAUCAAACUAAUAACUAAAUUUAUUACAAAAAUAAUAACUAAAUAAUAUAUAAAAUACAUCAAACUAUCUUUUUUAUUUUAUAUAUUAUUUAAAAUAAAAUUCAAACCCUAAAUCUAUAACAGUAUGAACUGCAGCAUAGAGACGGAGAAGGGGAAUGUAACGGACCUUCUUCUCCGACCACGGGAACCCAUCGGUCGAGGCAGCGUGGAGCUUCUGGACGGACGAGGAGCACACCGCCAGGAUCGCGAGCUUGUGAGAACCCCAAUGUUGGUUCUCCCUCGACUUCUUUACUCUCUUUCUUUCUCGAUUUCUCUUUACUCAGAGCCGAAUGGAGAAACUCCGGUCGCCUGUGGUGAAAACGGCCUUCACCACGAUGCUCCAUACUCUUAAAGAUCCCUAGAUCUGAAUCUCCCUCGCUCUUUCUCUCUCCCCACGGCGUCCCUCUCUCUGUUUCUCUCUACUUAAAGUCGGACAGAGCACCUCCGUCUUGGCGGAGAUCUGAGCAACAUCGUCAUUCGGCGGAUAAGACUAAUGAUUGAUGAUGAUGUUAACAGAUUGGCAUGGGGGAAGAGAGUGGAGAAAAUUUUUGGGGGUAGAUGAUUAAUGAUGAUGUUAACAGAUUGGCAUGGGUACGACAUUUUCUGGGUUUAGGCAAUAGUUUAUGAAGUUCAAUGAAUAUUAGUAUGUUUAUUAAAUUAGGUUUAAUUUUAUUUUAUUAUGCUUAAUUUUAUUUUACUAUGUUGCUUAAAUGACAUGGGCCAUCUGUUUCAAAAAAAAAAAAAAAUAUAUGGGCCAAUUAAAUAUUGCCAUAUGUAUAUCUAUUUGAUAUAUAUAGUGAGUUAUUAAUAA
Cannabis sativa is the source of this 1039-nucleotide long non-coding RNA. RefSeq lists it as uncharacterized. The record is from RefSeq and is a predicted model, not a curated record. The transcript has 2 exons. Lineage: Eukaryota; Viridiplantae; Streptophyta; Magnoliopsida; Rosales; Cannabaceae.